Molecule: ribosomal RNA, 442 nt
Filed under: uncultured bacterium
Lineage: Bacteria
Description: partial 16S ribosomal RNA
Rfam family: Bacterial small subunit ribosomal RNA
Source: RNAcentral
CCUACGGGUGGCAGCAGUAGGGAAUCUUUCACAAUGGGCGAAAGCCUGAUGGAGCAACGCCGCGUGCAGGAUGAAGGCCUUCGGGUUGUAAACUGCUUUUAUAAGCGAGAAAUAUGAUGGUAACUUAUGAAUAAGGAUCGGCUAACUACGUGCCAGCAGCCGCGGUCAUACGUAGGAUCCGAGCAUUAUCCGGAGUGACUGGGUGUAAAGAGUUGCGUAGGUGGCAUAAUAAGUAGCUAGUGAAAUCUGGUGGCUCAACCAUUCAGACUAUUAGCUAAACUGUUAAGCUCGAGACCGGUAGGGGUAACUUGAAUUUCUAGUGUAGGAGUGAAAUCCGUAGAUAUUAGAAGGAACACCAAUAGCGUAGGCAGGUUGCUGGGACGGUUCUGACACUAAGGCACGAAAGCGUAGGGAGCAAACGGGAUUAGAUACCCGAGUAGUC